UCUCCGGGGGUAGAGCACUGUUUCGGCUAGGGGGCCAUCCCGGCUUACCAACCCGAUGCAAACUGCGAAUACCGGAGAAUGUUAUCACGGGAGACACACGGCGGGUGCUAACGUCCGUCGUGAAGAGGGAAACAACCCAGACCGCCAGCUAAGGUCCCAAAGUCAUGGUUAAGUGGGAAACGAUGUGGGAAGGCCCAGACAGCCAGGAUGUUGGCUUAGAAGCAGCCAUCAUUUAAAGAAAGCGUAAUAGCUCACUGGUCGAGUCGGCCUGCGCGGAAGAUGUAACGGGGCUAAACCAUGCACCGAAGCUGCGGCAGCGACGCUGAUGCGUUGUUGGGUAGGGGAGCGUUCUGUAAGCCUGCGAAGGUGGCCUGUGAGGGUUGCUGGAGGUAUCAGAAGUGCGAAUGCUGACAUAAGUAACGAUAAAGCGGGUGAAAAGCCCGCUCGCCGGAAGACCAAGGGUUCCUGUCCAACGUUAAUCGGGGCAGGGUGAGUCGACCCCUAAGGCGAGGCCGAAAGGCGUAGUCGAUGGGAAACGGGUUAAUAUUCCCGUACUUGGUGUUACUGCGAAGGGGGGACGGAGAAGGCUAUGUUGGCCGGGCGACGGUUGUCCCGGUUUAAGCGUGUAGGUGUGUGUUCCAGGUAAAUCCGGUUCACUUUAACACUGAGGCGUGAUGACGAGGCACUACGGUGCUGAAGCAACAAAUGCCCUGCUUCCAGGAAAAGCCUCUAAGCAUCAGGUAACAUCAAAUCGUACCCCAAACCGACACAGGUGGUCAGGUAGAGAAUACCAAGGCGCUUGAGAGAACUCGGGUGAAGGAACUAGGCAAAAUGGUGCCGUAACUUCGGGAGAAGGCACGCUGACACGUAGGUGAAGUGAUUUACUCAUGGAGCUGAAGUCAGUCGAAGAUACCAGCUGGCUGCAACUGUUUAUUAAAAACACAGCACUGUGCAAACACGAAAGUGGACGUAUACGGUGUGACGCCUGCCCGGUGCCGGAAGGUUAAUUGAUGGGGUCAGCGCAAGCGAAGCUCCUGAUCGAAGCCCCGGUAAACGGCGGCCGUAACUAUAACGGUCCUAAGGUAGCGAAAUUCCUUGUCGGGUAAGUUCCGACCUGCACGAAUGGCGUAAUGAUGGCCAGGCUGUCUCCACCCGAGACUCAGUGAAAUUGAACUCGCUGUGAAGAUGCAGUGUACCCGCGGCAAGACGGAAAGACCCCGUGAACCUUUACUAUAGCUUGACACUGAACAUUGAGCCUUGAUGUGUAGGAUAGGUGGGAGGCUUUGAAGUGUGGACGCCAGUCUGCAUGGAGCCGGCCUUGAAAUACCACCCUUUAAUGUUUGAUGUUCUAACGUGGACCCGUGAUCCGGGUUGCGGACAGUGUCUGGUGGGUAGUUUGACUGGGGCGGUCUCCUCCUAAAGAGUAACGGAGGAGCACGAAGGUUGGCUAAUCCUGGUCGGACAUCAGGAGGUUAGUGCAAUGGCAUAAGCCAGCUUGACUGCGAGCGUGACGGCGCGAGCAGGUGCGAAAGCAGGUCAUAGUGAUCCGGUGGUUCUGAAUGGAAGGGCCAUCGCUCAACGGAUAAAAGGUACUCCGGGGAUAACAGGCUGAUACCGCCCAAGAGUUCAUAUCGACGGCGGUGUUUGGCACCUCGAUGUCGGCUCAUCACAUCCUGGGGCUGAAGUAGGUCCCAAGGGUAUGGCUGUUCGCCAUUUAAAGUGGUACGCGAGCUGGGUUUAGAACGUCGUGAGACAGUUCGGUCCCUAUCUGCCGUGGGCGCUGGAGAACUGAGGGGGGCUGCUCCUAGUACGAGAGGACCGGAGUGGACGCAUCACUGGUGUUCGGGUUGUCAUGCCAAUGGCACUGCCCGGUAGCUAAAUGCGGAAGAGAUAAGUGCUGAAAGCAUCUAAGCACGAAACUUGCCCCGAGAUGAGUUCUCCCUGAGACUUAGAGUCUCCUGAAGGAACGUUGAAGACGACGACGUUGAUAGGCCGGGUGUGUAAGCGCAGCGAUGCGUUGAGCUAACCGGUACUAAUGAACCGUGAGGCUUAACCUUACA
RNAcentral lists this ribosomal RNA (2060 nucleotides) under Salmonella enterica. Its description in RNAcentral is "partial 23S ribosomal RNA". It matches the Rfam family "Bacterial large subunit ribosomal RNA", at positions 893 to 2925 of the family's 2925-position model. Lineage: Bacteria; Pseudomonadati; Pseudomonadota; Gammaproteobacteria; Enterobacterales; Enterobacteriaceae. The record is from RNAcentral.